GUAGCUAUAGGCAUUGAUCUUUCUUUUUCUCUGAUAAAAAAAAUCAUAUUAAUAUGACAUCCUGCAGCUCUUUGAUGUUUACAUAGUAUCAGUACAGGGAAAUACUACUUUCAGUUUGAUACAUAAAGCCCUCCUUGUCUCUUGUGUCUUUUGUCUGUAGGCUAUUAUGCAUGUGACUAAAGCCAUGCAUGACUUAAGCAAAUGUUUGAAUAGGGUUCUUGUGUAGUAGGACUGUAUAAGCCAUUAGGCAUACUCUCUUUAACUUGGUGAUGAAAACAUUAUGGUACAUUUGGUCACACAAAGUAGAGUAAAAUUGCUUUUGUGGCAGCAGAAUAAACAGCGUUCUAAUCUGUGGGGGUUUUUUCUUGUGCACGUGUGUGUGCGCUGCAUACUUUCGGCAAAAUUAUCAAGCAGGACUGAACAUGAAAAGUGUUAAAGUUAUUGGAGUUGUGAAGUGAAAGCUGGGCCGAAGAGAGAAAAAAAGUAUUGCUUUUUUCAUUCUGAAAUUUAAAAUCAACAUUAUUCUGUCAUAUUUGUGAUCUGAGCUUGAAAUCUGUUAAUUGACAUGUGAGGCAGUUGCUAACCAUCUCUGUCAUUUAUAAAGCCCUUUGUAAGGGUGCUGUUUUUCUUUCUUCUCUAUAUGUGGUGAAUACUGGAGUAGAGACUUGAAUUUUUGCUGUGGGAAUGUGAAAAACACUGGAAGCUGCUCUCUGCCAAGUUAUUUCCCCAAGGAUCUGCUUUACAUUCUGACAAUCAAUGACCUGUCAGGUGUAGUUAUGCACCAUAGCAGUGAUAUGAGGUCAAUCAGAUGAAAGCAAGAUAUUUUGAAAUCAUCUGUUGAUUUUUCUGUGCUGCAAGACCAGCAUGUGAAUCAUGUCAGCAACUAUACUCCAUGUUUCAAAAACAUGUAAAAAUGUUACAGUUCUUCAAACAGAAGAAGCAGACAUCAGAUCCAGAGUGGAGUGCUGGACAAAGAACACAAAGCUAAAUGAAACUGCCAAAGCUGUCACGUGUUUCAACCGAAUAGCCACAAUUCUGUGGCGCUGUGCAAUACUUUCCCUUUCCUCUCUCCCCACCUUAGAUGUCACAUUUCCUUACACUGACAUGUGGUUGGAGUGUGGUUGGAAUGUGGUUGGAGGCUCCUGGCAUAGAUUGACAUUGGUCCACUGAAGGGAAGCAGCUGGGAACCACUUUCCACCAGGACAAAGCUGCUGUAUCCAGAGGGACACCAAAGGCAUUACCUAUCUGCUCAUGCCAGUUUCUUUCUGACCGAAGACACGGCUGACCAGCAAACCUUGGUGCUUUUGAAAGGGAUUUCCUCUUUUGGGCUCUCUGAAUGAUUUUGAGGCAACAUCAGGCUAAGAAGACCUCUGCCAUCUGACAUAAUUUUACUUUGUCAUUUUUGGGGCACUUGAUUGAUCUUAAGAUAUUAAUUUUUGUAUGUAAUAAGGCUAAAAUGUAGAAAACAUGGUACUGAUUCUUUUUCUAGUUCUUAUGACUGCUCUUGCUUUCAGUUCUGUAGAGGAAAUCUAAUGCUUCAGACUGGGCUAUUCUAUUGAACUUCUAAAAAUUGCCUUCUCCCACUGUCAACAAGUAUGAGCUUGAGACCUGCCCUUGGGUACAUUCUCAGGGCUGCAAAUUUGCCCUGGGCACAGCAGUGAGGAAAUCUCAGCUUGCAGUGUGUGCAUCUCCCCCCAUCAAACUGAAAGCCAGGCCAGUUCACUAGACAUUAAAAAAUCUAGAUUUUCUCAAAUCUUGCAAGACAUUUGGAUAAAACUGGAGGCAUGGAGUGACUAAUAAAACUGGAUGAGAAGAAAGUAAAAAUUUUGUC
Long non-coding RNA from Zonotrichia albicollis (white-throated sparrow), 1831 nucleotides. NCBI's taxonomy places the organism in Eukaryota, Metazoa, Chordata, Aves, Passeriformes, Passerellidae. The record is from Ensembl.